Molecule: ribosomal RNA, 248 nt
Filed under: uncultured bacterium
Lineage: Bacteria
Description: partial 16S ribosomal RNA
Rfam family: Bacterial small subunit ribosomal RNA
Source: RNAcentral
UACGGGGGGGCAAGCGUUGUUCGGAAUUACUGGGCGUAAAGGCUCGUAGGUGGCCAACUAAGUCAGACGUGAAAUCCCUCGGCUUAACCGGGGAACUGCGUCUGAUACUGGAUGGCUUGAGUUUGGGAGAGGGACGCGGAAUUCCAGGUGUAGCGGUGAAAUGCGUAGAUAUCUGGAGGAACACCGGUGGCGAAGGCGGCGCACUGGACCACAACUGACGCUGAGGCGCGAAGCUAGGGAGCAAACAG